UACGGGAGGCAGCAGUGAGGAAUAUUGGUCAAUGGGCGGAAGCCUGAACCAGCCAUGCCGCGUGCAGGAUGACGGCCCUAUGGGUUGUAAACUGCUUUUGACGGGGAGCAAUAAGGCGUACGCGUACGCUGAUGAGAGUACUCGUCGAAUAAGCAUCGGCUAACUCCGUGCCAGCAGCCGCGGUAAU
This 187-nucleotide ribosomal RNA is filed under the name uncultured rumen bacterium. RNAcentral describes it as "partial 16S ribosomal RNA". It matches the Rfam family "Bacterial small subunit ribosomal RNA", at positions 340 to 524 of the family's 1533-position model. The record is from RNAcentral.